Molecule: long non-coding RNA, 432 nt
Filed under: Setaria viridis
Lineage: Eukaryota; Viridiplantae; Streptophyta; Magnoliopsida; Poales; Poaceae
Description: long non-coding RNA (SVIR_LNC001920)
Source: RNAcentral
GGAGUCACAGCGUGGGGGGUCUCGAGAGAAAAGAAGCGAACCAUUUUUUUUGCAACCAGUGGCAUUGGUGGGUAAUUACCCAUCAAUUCCACGAGGAGGUUCAUAUUGGGUGGUUUUGGAGCGGCAAAAGAGGUGCUUCAAAACUUCACCCCCAUUUGCAUUACAGUUCCAUGGAGUUGGCAGCUCCAUGGAGUUUUGAAGCUGAGAUGUUUGGCUGGAAAAUUGGCUAGAGUUGCUGGAGUUCAGCUCCAGAGUCAUGCCAUUGCCAAACACGCCCUUAAGCUCCUAGAUGCCUAUAAAGGGAUGGCUUCAGCAACUGUAUUUAAAGGAUAUUCUUGUUAUCUUUGGCAGGACCUUUGGGUAGGAAGAGUCCAUUGUCAAUCAUUUCCUAAACUUUUCUCCUUUGCUAAAGCUAAACAUAUCUCCAUCCAC